GCUUCUUUUUAUGUCCUGUGUUGGUUGUUGUGGCGGUCAGUGAAAGGUUUUUUAUUAUUUUGUAUUAUUUUGUAGCUGGGCAUUCAGAGCUCAGCAUCACAAAGACAAAUGUGGAGUGACAAUGUGAAUUACAGACCAGAGACAUCUUCAUCAGCACCGUGUGUGCGCGCGUGUACCCGUCCCUGCAGCAGUAUAAUACAAUGAGCCAGAUUUGCCAUCCUAUCAAAGAAUUCUGACACCAAAAUUGAAAGCAUCAGGGAGGCCUGUUUUUUUGUUGGUGACGUGGGGUCCGGGUGCCGUCGUCAAUGGAACCGGGGGGUGCCUCAGCUAGCUCGUCGGGCUUCCAUGCCCUAGCUGGCUCUAGAAGUUUUUCAUGCCCCAGUGGGCUCGGCAGGCGCCCCGCCCCAGAUCAUGCUUCGGCCGGCCAUCGGGCUCCCAUGCUUCCGCCGGUUCGUCAGCCUCGCACGUCUCAGCGGGAUCAUCAGGCUUUCACGCC
Molecule: long non-coding RNA, 496 nt
Filed under: Salmo salar (Atlantic salmon)
Lineage: Eukaryota; Metazoa; Chordata; Actinopteri; Salmoniformes; Salmonidae
Description: lncRNA (ENSSSAG00000088889.1)
Source: RNAcentral